RNAcentral lists this ribosomal RNA (500 nucleotides) under uncultured bacterium. Its description in RNAcentral is "partial 16S ribosomal RNA". It matches the Rfam family "Bacterial small subunit ribosomal RNA", at positions 30 to 523 of the family's 1533-position model. The record is from RNAcentral.
AUUGAACGCUGGCGGCAUGCCUUACACAUGCAAGUCGAACGGCAGCACGGGAGCAAUCCUGGUGGCGAGUGGCGAACGGGUGAGUAAAGUAUCGGAACGUGCCCAGUCGUGGGGGAUAACGUAGCGAAAGUUACGCUAAUACCGCAUACGAUCUAUGGAUGAAAGCGGGGGAUCGCAAGACCUCGCGCGAUUGGAGCGGCCGAUAUCAGAUUAGGUAGUUGGUGGGGUAAAGGCUAACCAAGCCGACGAUCUGUAGCUGGUCUGAGAGGACGACCAGCCACACUGGGACUGAGACACGGCCCAGACUCCUACGGGAGGCAGCAGUGGGGAAUUUUGGACAAUGGGCGCAAGCCUGAUCCAGCCAUGCCGCGUGCAGGAUGAAGGCCUUCGGGUUGUAAACUGCUUUUGUACGGAACGAAAAGGUUUGACUUAAUACGUUGGACUCAUGACGGUACCGUAAGAAUAAGCACCGGCUAACUACGUGCCAGCAGCCGCCGCGG